Lagenorhynchus albirostris (white-beaked dolphin) is the source of this 1705-nucleotide long non-coding RNA. RefSeq lists it as uncharacterized. NCBI's taxonomy places the organism in Eukaryota, Metazoa, Chordata, Mammalia, Artiodactyla, Delphinidae. The record is from RefSeq and is a predicted model, not a curated record. The transcript has 3 exons.
GUCCUUUUCUGCCGCAGGAGAAGGCGGCGCAGUUUGGAAGCCACGGCAGGCGCCGAGAGCGCUUCUGAACCGGAGCCCGGGAGGGCAGCGAAGGGCGAGCGAAAGCGAAGGGGCGGCUCCGUGGCCCCCUCCCCCGACCUGGGAGGAUUCUCCCCGGACCCCACUGAGAUGGCCCCGCAGUCCCCCCGCACUGAGAGCGCGGCGACCUCCUAGCCCGGACUCCCAGCUCCGGGGAUUCAGUCUCCCUGGCCAGAGUCCUUCCCACCCCACUCCAGUGCUUCCAGUCUCAGCCGCUGGAGACCAAGUCUGGAUGGCAUCAACAGAACUCGCACCGGGAGAGGGAGGUGCCAAGACGCUUGCGCCUUCCUGGAUGUUUGCUUUACUGCCCAGACCCACUCCCAGAGGGAUAUCAGCUGAGGAGAUUGCCACUCUCAAGUGCACAUUGCGCAUUGCACAACUCCAGGGGGCACCAUUUCUCCGGUAGUCAUCGUAGACUUGUAUAGCUGUUGUGACUGCUUUCCAGCAGAUGGCACUCAAGCGUUUUGAGAAAGGGGUGCCUUUUUCUAAUGCACCCAGCAGAGCUAUCUGGGCUAGUGUCAGGGGUGGCUAGGCCCUCUGUGAGAUCCUGUUGGCCUGUAUCCCCUACCCUUUGCCUCAGUCUUGCCGGGAUUAGGAGGGGUUCUAGAGUAGCAUGUGGAGAAGGGACUCCUCUCCUAGGUGGUCUCUCAGGUCCCCCCGGGGUUUACCCAUCCUCCCCCACAAAACUUCCUGCUAUCCUGGAGCUGAUUUCAGGGUAACGGCGCCUGUCCAGGCAUACCUGGUGACCUACUGUGGAUUUGUUUGGCUUGGCCUAGAGAGCUGCAGGGCAGCCAAGCUGAAGUGCAGAUCAGAGACCCUCUUCCUGCUUCCUCUCCCAGGGCAGGGGUUUUUUUCAAUCUCCCAGGGAUUGGGCCCUCUCCUACUUUCUGCAAGUACAGACUGUCCAGGUGAGAGGAGGAAGAGGAGCUAGAAGCUGGACCUGCAGGGGCAGAACCAAAAGUUGCAAACUGACGGCACCUACUGGCAACCAUAAAGACUGCAGGAGGGCUGGGGAGUUAUGGCCGAGGACAAGAUUCUGGGAUUCUCUCCGUGCCAUCUCAUGGGCUACUGGGGUCUCUUCUGCCCCAUCUGCCUUGGAGAAGAAGGGUAAAGAGAACCAGGAUCCUCAAGUCCCUGGGGGAAGCCUGGCCAGUCCCUGAUUCAGAAAACUGCCCCCAGGCCCCUCCCCAUCCUUCACCAUCAAUGGACCCAGUUCUGCCACAAAAUUAUUGUGUGAACUUGGACACCACCCCUUGGAGCUCGAAUGUCCCUAACUGCAAUGGAGGUAGGUCAUCUCCACCUAGCCUAGCUUUUGAAGCUCUUGUGAGAAUAAAAUGGGACCAGGAAGAAUAGUUCUGAUCCCAAUGCCAGACUUGUCUUCUAGAGACCGCAGACCUGGGAGGCAUAAAGGUACUGGGACAUGGAGGAAGGAGGGCAGAACUGGCGAUGAAGCAUGAAUGCAGGAGAAUAUCCUGGUCAGAGGAGCUUCCCAAACUUGGUAACCAACAUCCCAACACCACUGGGGAAAAGUGAGGAAGACACACCCCCCCCAGGACAAGUGAGUAGACUGCAAGAAAGGAAGGGGGAAAGGAGUAACUAUGGCCUCCAUUCCCUCAUCUGCAAAAUA